UGGGGAAUAUUGCACAAUGGGCUCAAGCCUGAUGCAGCCAUGCCGCGUGUAUGAAGAAGGCCUUCGGGUUGUAAAGUACUUUCAGCGAGGAGGAAGGCGUUGUGGUUAAUAACCGCAGCGAUUGACGUUACUCGCAGAAGAAGCACCGGCUAACUCCGUGCCAGCAGCCGCGGUAAUACGGAGGGUGCAAGCGUUAAUCGGAAUUACUGGGUGUAAAGCGCACGCAGGCGGUCUGUCAAGUCGGAUGUGAAAUCCCCGGGCUCAACCUGGGAACUGCAUCCGAAACUGGCAGGCUAGAGUCUUGUAGAGGGGGGUAGAAUUCCAGGUGUAGCGGUGAAAUGCGUAGAGAUCUGGAGGAAUACCGGUGGCGAAGGCGGCCCCCUGGACAAAGACUGACGCUCAGGUGCGAAAGCGUGGGGAGCAAACA
This 427-nucleotide ribosomal RNA is filed under the name uncultured bacterium. RNAcentral's name for it is "partial 16S ribosomal RNA". It matches the Rfam family "Bacterial small subunit ribosomal RNA", at positions 355 to 774 of the family's 1533-position model. The record is from RNAcentral.